Long non-coding RNA from Musa acuminata AAA Group (dessert banana), 350 nucleotides. RefSeq lists it as uncharacterized. NCBI's taxonomy places the organism in Eukaryota, Viridiplantae, Streptophyta, Magnoliopsida, Zingiberales, Musaceae. The transcript is spliced from 4 exons. The record is from RefSeq and is a predicted model, not a curated record.
AGAGGCCAUUAGGAUUCGCGUGAGGAGAGGAAUGCUGAGGAUAACUUGCUUCGCCCAAUGAACUCGAACCAUCACGCAUCCACUAACCUUAGUGACUACACAACGGAUGCCAUCGAGAGAAUCAAUCGAGAAUCGAAGAUGGAUUCGGUGGCCCUUCUCUUCUUCCUCCUCCUCCUCUUGUCAGCGACUGCACCCUCAGAAUCAUUUGCAGGUCAUCGAAAGUUGAUGCAUCAUGCUUCGGUACCACACGAAGCUACGAAAAAGAGUUCAUCCAAGGAUAAUGUUAAGACCAAUGACUAUGGAGCGUAUGAUCCUUCCCCAGCUCUCAACAAGCCUCCUUACAAGCUCAU